Molecule: signal recognition particle RNA, 241 nt
Filed under: Pteropus alecto (black flying fox)
Lineage: Eukaryota; Metazoa; Chordata; Mammalia; Chiroptera; Pteropodidae
Description: Metazoan signal recognition particle RNA
Rfam family: Metazoan signal recognition particle RNA
About the family: The signal recognition particle (SRP) is a universally conserved ribonucleoprotein. It is involved in the co-translational targeting of proteins to membranes.
Source: Rfam by way of RNAcentral
GCCGGGUGCAAUGGCAUGCGCCUGUAGUCCCAGCUACUCAGGAGGCUGAGGCAGGAGGAUUACUUGAGCCCAGGAGUUCUGGGCUGUAGUAUGCUAUGCCCUAUGCCGAUAGGGUGUCUGCACUAAGUUCGGCAUCAAUAUGGUAACCUCCUGGGAGCAGGGGACCACCAGGUAGUAGGAUCGUGCCUAUGAAUAGUCACUGCACUCCUGGCCUGGGCAACAUAGUGAGAUCCUGUCUCUA